GGACACAGCAUGAACAUGAGGGCCCCUGCUCAGCUCUUGGGGCUCCUGCUGCUCUGGCUCCCAGGUGCCAGUUGUGACAUCCAGAUGACCCAGUCACCAUCCUCCCUGUCUGCAUCACUAGGAGACACAGUCACCAUCAGUUGCCAGGCCAGUCAGGGCAUUAGCAAAUAUUUAAACUGGUAUCAGCAGAAACCAGGGAAAUCUCCUAAGCUCCUGAUCUAUUAUACAUCUAAUUUAGAAACUGGGGUCCCAUCGAGGUUCAGUGGCAGUGGGUCAGGGACAGAUUAUUCUCUGACCAUCAGUGGCCUACAGGCUGAAGAUGUUGCAGAUUAUUUCUGUCAGCAACAUAACAGUUCCCCUCCCACAGUGUUACAAGUCAUAGCAUAAACCACCCCAGGGAAGCAGGUGUGUGAGGCUGGGCGGCC
Molecule: non-coding RNA, 425 nt
Organism: Otolemur garnettii (small-eared galago)
Lineage: Eukaryota; Metazoa; Chordata; Mammalia; Primates; Galagidae
Source: the annotation of a RefSeq genome assembly